CAGCCGCCGCGGGAAUACGGAGGGUGCAAGCGUUGUUCGGAAUUAUUGGGCGUAAAGGGUGCGUAGGCGGUUUGGCAAGUUUGGUGUGAAAUCUUCGGGCUCAACUCGAAGUCUGCAUCGAAAACUGCCGGGCUUGAGUAUGGGAGAGGUGAGUGGAAUUUCCGGUGUAGCGGUGAAAUGCGUAGAUAUCGGAAGGAACACCUGUGGCGAAAGCGGCUCACUGGACCAUAACUGACGCUGAUGCACGAAAGCUAGGGGAGCAAACAGGAUUAGAUACCCGGGUAGUCCCUGUCUCUUAUAC
This 301-nucleotide ribosomal RNA is filed under the name uncultured bacterium. RNAcentral describes it as "partial 16S ribosomal RNA". It matches the Rfam family "Bacterial small subunit ribosomal RNA", at positions 509 to 807 of the family's 1533-position model. The record is from RNAcentral.